This is a long non-coding RNA of Ictalurus punctatus (channel catfish), 801 nucleotides long. The record is from Ensembl. NCBI's taxonomy places the organism in Eukaryota, Metazoa, Chordata, Actinopteri, Siluriformes, Ictaluridae.
CACACACAUCCAGUGUUAACAGAAGGGGAUCUGUUAGAGGAAGAGGAAGGCUUGUCAGUGUUUUCAUUGCAGCUCCAGACCACAUUUCACCUUUCAGCUGCGGUUAGCGCUCAAAUGAGGCUGCACUUUGCAUACGAGAGAAAACAAUCACAUGGACGUUGCAUCUGUAUUCGUAGCACACUUUAUGCGAACAGCCAUCUGCAUCGGCUGUAGGUCUGUAGUGAAGGCAAGUGAGUGAGGGAGGGAGGGAGUAAGGCAGGUAGGUGAGUGAAUGAAGUAGGGAGGUGAGGUAGGUAGGUAGGUGAGGUAGGUAGGUAGGUGAGGGAGGUAGGUAGGUAGGUAGGUGAGUGAAUGAAGUAGGGAGGUAGGUAGGUGAGGUAGGUAGGUGAGUGAAUGAGGUAGGUAGGUAGGUGAGGGAGGGAGGUAGUUGGUGAGGGAGGUAGGUAGGUAGGUGAGUGAAUGAAGUAGGGAGGUAGGUAGGUGAGUGAAUGAGGUAGGUAGGUGAGGUAGGGAGGUGUGUGAAUGAAGUAGGGAGGUAGGUAGGUGAGGUAGAGGUGAGUGAGUGAGGUAGGUAGGUAUGUGAGUGAGGUAGGUAGGUAGGUGAGUGUAUGAGGUAGGUAGGUGAGUGAAUGAGGUAGGUAGGUGAGGUAGGUAGGUAGGUAGGUGAGUGAAUGAGGUAGGUAGGUGAGGUAGGUAGGUUAGUGAAUGAGGUAGGUAGGUGAGUGAAUGAGGUAGGUAGGUGAGGUAGGUAGGUAGGUGAGUGAAUGAGGUAGGUAGGUGAGUGAAUGAGGUAGGUAGGUG